This 519-nucleotide ribosomal RNA is filed under the name Staphylococcus simulans. RNAcentral's name for it is "bacterial SSU rRNA". It matches the Rfam family "Bacterial small subunit ribosomal RNA", at positions 14 to 501 of the family's 1533-position model. Lineage: Bacteria; Bacillati; Bacillota; Bacilli; Caryophanales; Staphylococcaceae. The record is from RNAcentral.
UGAUCCNGGCUCAGGAUGAACGCUGACGGCGUGGCCUAAUACANGCAAGUCNAGCGGACAGACGAGAAGCUUGCUCCUCUGACGUUAGCGGCGGNCGGGUGAGUUAACACGUGGGUAACCUACCUAUAAGACUGGNAUAACUCCGGGAAACCGGGGCUAGAUACCGGAUAACACAUGUAACCGCAUGGUUUCAUGAUGAAAAACGGUUUUGCUGUCACUUAUANAUGGACCCGCGGCGUAUUAGCUAGUUGGUAANNUAACGGCUUACCAAGGCAACGAUACGUAGCCGACCUGAGAGGGUGAUCGGCCACACUGGAACUGAGACUACGGUCCAGACUCCUACGGGAGGCAGCAGUAGGGAAUCUUCCUGCAUAUGGGCGAAAGCCUGACGGAGCAACGCCGCGUGAGUGAUGAAGGUACUUCGGAUCGUAAAUACUACUGUUAUUAGGGAAGAACAAGGGUGUAAGUAACUAUGCAUCCCCUUGCACGGUACCUAUNGCAGAAAGGUUUCGCNCUAAA